This 514-nucleotide ribosomal RNA is filed under the name uncultured bacterium. RNAcentral's name for it is "bacterial SSU rRNA". It matches the Rfam family "Bacterial small subunit ribosomal RNA", at positions 15 to 518 of the family's 1533-position model. The record is from RNAcentral.
GAUCCUGGCUCAGGAUGAACGCUAGCUACAGGCUUAACACAUGCAAGUCGAGGGGCAGCAUUGGGAUAGCUUGCUAUCCAGAUGGCGACCGGCGCACGGGUGAGUAACGCGUAUCCAACCUUCCCUAUAGUAGAGAAUAGCCCGGCGAAAGUCGGAUUAAUGCUCUAUGUUGUGUUUUGAGGACAUCUGACGAACACCAAAGGUUCACCGCUAUAGGAUGGGGAUGCGUCUGAUUAGCUUGUUGGCGGGGUAACGGCCCACCAAGGCGACGAUCAGUAGGGGUUCUGAGAGGAAGGUCCCCCACAUUGGUACUGAGACACGGACCAAACUCCUACGGGAGGCAGCAGUGAGGAAUAUUGGUCAAUGGGCGAGAGCCUGAACCAGCCAAGUAGCGUGCCAGGACGACUGCCCUAUGGGUUGUAAACUGCUUUUAUCAGGGAAUAAAGUUCGGCACGUGUGCCGUUUUGUAUGUACCUGAUGAAUAAGGGCCGGCUAAUUCCGUGCCAGCCGCAGC